This is a non-coding RNA of Flammula alnicola, 88 nucleotides long. Lineage: Eukaryota; Fungi; Basidiomycota; Agaricomycetes; Agaricales; Strophariaceae. The record is from the annotation of a GenBank genome assembly.
UCCGGUAUGGUGUAACGGCUAACAUUACCGCCUUUCAUCGUCCUACAGCUGAUCGCGGUAGCUCGGGGUUCGAUUCCCCGUACCGGAA